AAGUCGUAACAAGGUUUCCGUAGGUGAACCUGCGGAAGGAUCAUUAUCCAUCUAAAACCAGGUGCGGUCGCGGCCUCCGGGUGAAAGCCUGGGUGGUUUCGCGCCGCAUUCCUGCACCCUUUUUUUACGAGCACCUUUGUUCUCCUUCGGCGGGGCAACCUGCCGCUGGAACUUAAUAAAACCUUUUUUGCAUCUAGCAUUACCUGUUCUGAUACAAAUAAUCGUUACAACUUUCAACAAUGGAUCUCUUGGCUCUG
Molecule: unclassified non-coding RNA, 257 nt
Filed under: Paraphaeosphaeria michotii
Lineage: Eukaryota; Fungi; Ascomycota; Dothideomycetes; Pleosporales; Didymosphaeriaceae
Also listed under: 2 other names
Description: partial contains small subunit ribosomal RNA, internal transcribed spacer 1, and 5.8S ribosomal RNA
Rfam family: Eukaryotic small subunit ribosomal RNA (bases 1-46)
Source: RNAcentral